CCUACGGGUGGCAGCAGUGAGGAAUAUUGGUCAAUGGGAGAGAUCCUGAACCAGCCAAGCCGCGUGAGGGAAGACGGUCCUAUGGUCUGUAAACCUCUUUUGUCGGGGAGCAAAACCCGGGUCGUGUCCCGCACUGCGUGUAUCCGAAGAAAAAGCAUCGGCUAACUCCGUGCCAGCCGACGCGGUAAUACGGGGGAUGCGAGCGUUAUCCGGAUUUAUUGGGUUUAAAGGGUGCGCAGGGGGAACGUUAAGUCAGCGGUAAAAUUGCGUGGCUCAACCCCGACGAGCCGUUGAAACUGGCAGACUUGAGUGGGCGAGAAGUACGCGGAAUGCGAGGUGUAGCGGUGAAAUGCAUAGAUAUCGCGCAGAACUCCGAGUGCGAAGGCAGCGUACCGGCGCCAAACUGACGCUGAGGCACGAAAGCGUGGGGAUCGAACAGGAUUAGAGACCCGGGUAGUC
Molecule: ribosomal RNA, 459 nt
Filed under: uncultured bacterium
Lineage: Bacteria
Description: partial 16S ribosomal RNA
Rfam family: Bacterial small subunit ribosomal RNA
Source: RNAcentral